GCUAUAUAUAGAAAUCAACUGUCUCCACUACCAACAUGUAUUAAAUAUAUUGAAUAUGUAUUUAUUUUAUCCUCGUGUCUAAUAUAUUGUUACUGAGUAUAUUAAUGAAAUCUUUGAUGGGUAUAUAGAUAAGUACUUGUCUCAUUGUCAUUAGUACUUUGCUAUAUAUGUUAAAAAGAUGGAUCGUGCUGACAUGACAUUUGUACUUAAAAAAUAUGGAAACACCACACAUUUUCAAUAAUAAUGAUUGAUUCUUAUUCUCUAAUGUAGAUUUCAUAAUGAAGAUUAUUUUUCUACCAUUUAAUUUGAAAAUCAAAAAGUAUACUGAAUCUAUUUAAAAAAAGGUUCAAAUAUUCACAAGAAUUAAGGCUGUCAGAUAUCAGUAAUUAGAUUUUUAUGCCCCACCUACGUCCGUAUGUUCGUUCAUCCGUCUGUUUGUUCGUAUCUGUCCCGCUUCAGGUUUAAAGUUUUUGGUCAAGGUAGUUUUUGAUGAAGCUGAAGUCCAAUCAACUUGAAACUUAGUACACAUGUUCCUUAUGAUAUAAUCUUUCUAAUUUUAAAGCCAAAUUAGACUUUUGACCCAAAUUUCACUGUCCACUGAAUAUAAAAAAUGAAAGUGCGAGUUUCAGGUUAAAGUUUUUUGGUCAAGGUAGUUUUUGAUGAAAUAGAAGUCCAAUCAACUUGAAACUUAGUACACAUGUUCCCUAUGGUAUGAUCUUUCCAAUUUUAAUACCAAAUUAGAUUUUUUACCCAAUUUCACGGUCCAUUGAACAUGGAAAAGGAAAGUGCGAGUGGGGCAUCUGUGUACUUUGGACACAUUCUUGUUUAAUUUUGCCUUAUGUUUUUCUUUAGAUCUUCAAACUGCAAAAGCUGACAAAAACCUCACUUUGAGAUAUUGCCAUUUUUAUUUAUUUUCAACAGUUAAUCCAAAAAAGAUAAUGUACUUAAAUAUGAGAUGUCUUAUACAAAGAUGUUGAUGUGAGUAAAAUUAUUUCUUGGAUAAAGGCUAAAGCUGUUGUAAAAAUUAUUAUAAUAUGGUAAUUUUAAUUACAUAUGUCAAUUUCAGCAUUUUAUAUGACAACUCAAAUGACAUGAUUUUAUCAUAUUUUAGAUUAACACUAAAUCAGAGUAAUCUACUGAUCCUGUUUGUAAUAUUAAUCUUAUAAUUAUAUUUUAAAAGAUCAUGUUUGCUGUGGUAUCAUAGCAGAGUGUACUCAUUUUUUUUUCUCUCAGAAAAUAGAAGUUCAUUUAUUUCAAAAUUUUAAUAGGUUUAAACAAUCUAAAUGUGUAUGUGUGCACUAAUUACAGCUUGAUGUACAUAAUAAUAAUAUUAACAACAAUUUUCCAAUAAGAUGGAUAUUUUAAGUAUAAAUUGAUCAGCAUUUGAAUCACAAGUUUACAAGAUGAUAUACUCAUUCUAUGAAACAGUAUUAAAUGAAGGUAUUUUUAUACAUUUCUGUCAGUGAACUGUUGAUAUUUGCUAGGUUUAUUUACACUUAAUACUUAUAUUUGUAAUAUUUAU
This 1522-nucleotide long non-coding RNA is filed under the name Mytilus galloprovincialis (Mediterranean mussel). The record is from RNAcentral. Lineage: Eukaryota; Metazoa; Mollusca; Bivalvia; Mytilida; Mytilidae.